AGAGUUUGAUCAUGGCUCAGAAUCAACGCUGGCGGCGUGCCUAACACAUGCAAGUCGAACGCGAAAGCCCCGCAAGGGGCAAGUAGAGUGGCAAACGGGUGAGUAACGCGUGGGUGACCUGCCUUCGAGCGGGGGAUAACGUUCCGAAAGGGACGCUAAUACCGCAUAACAUCCCGCCUUUGAACAGGUGGAGAUCAAAG
Molecule: ribosomal RNA, 200 nt
Filed under: uncultured bacterium
Lineage: Bacteria
Description: partial 16S ribosomal RNA
Rfam family: Bacterial small subunit ribosomal RNA
Source: RNAcentral